Molecule: unclassified non-coding RNA, 1204 nt
Filed under: Hevea brasiliensis (rubber tree)
Lineage: Eukaryota; Viridiplantae; Streptophyta; Magnoliopsida; Malpighiales; Euphorbiaceae
Source: RNAcentral
UAUAUAUUGUAGAUUCGGAGGUAUGCAUUCUGAAGCUUUUGAAUGAUAUACAAUAUUAUGAAACUGAUGGGUCUUUUAUAUCUGAUGCAUCAAUUUUGACAUGCUCUGUUGAUGAGCUGACCACUUUCUGAUGAGAGCCAAUUCUAUAGCUUAUGCUGAACAAUUAUCUGUUAAACCAGCUCUUUUCUCUAUGCGUUCACACUAGUUCUAUAAUGGGAAUUAGUGCGGGUUCCAAUUAUAUUCACAUUUAUCAGCUAAUGCUUAUGAAUUGUAAAUAUCACUAGUAUUGUAUUUUUAUAUAAUGGGGUAAAAUGUUAUUGAUUUGUUGCAUAUAAUAAUUUUAUUUGCAAUCUUUUUUCUUAACUGAAGGAUUUCAAAUUUGUGUGUAAGUUGAUGCUUAAGAGAGGAUCUUGUUUUACUAUAACAUACACAAUUGCUUUUAAAAAAGAUGGAAGCUUCAUUUAUUUUGUUGGCUUGUUUUUCAAGAAAGUAUAUCUUGCUGUUUUUAGAUGAUUUUGGAACUUACAAUUUUUACUUUAAUGAUUGAUAUUCCUAAGAACCAAGCUAUCCGGAGAGCUGAUAUGAAGAGGCGAGUUUUAGAGACUCUUUAUCCCACUUGUAGUGUCAAUAAAAAUAAUAGUGUAUGGACCUGGAUUGCAAAUAAAGUGGGUUUUGCAACGAAGAUUGAUUCGAAGUCCAAAGAAUUUGAUUCCCAAUUGCUGGUUUUCCCCUGGCAUCUUUUGAAAUCAGUAGAUGAUAGUUUCUUAAUCAUCAACCGCAGGUAAAAGAUGAUUUUCUUGUUAUUAAUUUGUGUUUUAUUUUAUUAUUUUUAUUUUUUAUAAUAAGCAGUAGGCUCUAUGCUGCUUUUUGUGUUUUUGCUGUAAUAGUAAGUAUUACAAUCUAUGAAUUAAGUUUCUGUCUAUGCCCACAACAUUUUGUCAUUUUAGGUUAAAACAAGGAUGUGCAUUUUGAGUAAUAGAUCCUCUAACUUGAACUAAAGAGCAAUCACUUACAUUGGAUGUCUAUUAAAGAUCUAAUUUUAGAAGACUUUUGCCAGGAAUGAUUUGGUAUUAAUUCAUCUAUCUCAAUUUAAUGAGUCUAAAUACCUUAAAGCCAACUUGUGACCUUCUUAUCUAAUGUUUUUCCUGGUUCUUUUUAGGUAAUCUUUGACAUAAGGAUUAAUAUGGUAAAUUUUGUUUUUAUU